UUAACCCAUUUUAUGGCUCUAGGGACUUUAAGGCAAACAAUUAGCCAUGGAUCCCUCUUGACACCCUGCACCACUAGCUUUCUGUAUAGUGUAUGUGCAAUCUAGUAUCACUUUAAAGUAAAGGAGGUAAACAGAUUUCUAUGCGCAAACCGUACACACAACGUAGAUCUUUAGGUUUUAGGCACAGAAGCAGUUAACUGCAUUGCCCAGUAGGUAACCACUAAAGCACAAAAUCUAACAGAACAAGGGCCUUAAUACAGAUACAAAUACAAACAUAUUUCAAAUUACGAAAAGGGUGGGACACCUGUUUGUGAUUGGACAGAUCCCGAGUCAAUGUUAGCUGACGUAUGUCGUCAGUGGCCACGACGUGUCGCUUCAUUGGCCAGGGAAACGUCGGGAAACAGAUUUAAACUAAGUUUGAAGCAUUCCUUCGGUUUGCUAGUGCUGUGAGAAAACGUCGUUACCGAAGAGGUUUACUCGUUCAGCUGUUGCAUUCUAGAAACACCAGCUCUCACCUUACAAACCAGGUGUCACCACGACAUCCACGAUCACAGAGAGUCUUUGUACAAUGAAGAAGUUCUUUGAGAUCAGGACGAAGGCCUCCAGCUUGCUUCCUGAUCGGCUAACACCAUGUUCCAUGUGACAAUCCACAGAGUGCGUGCCUGGCUUUCCUCAAUGUUCCCCCCACACAACAGGAUUUUCAAUCGACUCAAACUUCAACCAUUAUGUCACAGAGAGAAGAGACAAACACAAAGACAUUCCCAGAAGCUGCUGUCGUCUUCUCCUCCUGCAGAGACAAGAAAACAUGUUAAUCACAGACACUGAUCAAUACAUCUAUCAUCCUUAUUCAUUUUUGAUACCUCAAUAGACAUUUGAUUCUUUACCAUACUGUGGCGGUUUUUGACACCGUAGUAUACUAUGACAUUAUUUGACUUGCUAUGACUUUUGAUUCUUUAUUACAUCAUUUUUUGGUUUGACACCAUAGUAUACUAUGAAUUUUUUUGACGCUUUACUAUACUAUGACAUUUUUGAUAUUUUUGAUUUA
Long non-coding RNA from Lates calcarifer (barramundi perch), 1045 nucleotides. RefSeq lists it as uncharacterized. The record is from RefSeq and is a predicted model, not a curated record. NCBI's taxonomy places the organism in Eukaryota, Metazoa, Chordata, Actinopteri, Centropomidae. The transcript is spliced from 6 exons.